UCAUAUUACUUGAAACCAAAUACUACGAUUAUUGCAAUAUUUUUCGAUCUCGAAACAUUCAUAAUUCUUUAACUAUUAUAUAUUAUAGUUAUUUUUUAUGCCUUAUUUGUUUGUACUUAAUGGAUGUCUAAAUCAAAAUCAUUCAAAUCUCAGUCAUUACGUGAGUUUAUUUUUUUAGAUCUGAAUCUUACAUUCAGAUAAGACCGUUUGUUUUUUCAAUUUUACAAUCACUUAAUGGGUCUAACAAACCUUAACGAUUAAGAUCUAUAAUAAAGUCUUACGCCUUAUUUGUUUGCACUUAAUAGAAGUCUGAAUCUUAAUUAUUUAAAUCUCAGUCAUUAAAUGCAUUUAUUUUUUAUAUCUGAAUUUUAAUCACUAAGAUAUUAACCACUAAGUCUAUUUAUUUUUCAUUUUUAAAAUCACUUAAUGGGUCGAAUAAUUCUUAAUAAUUAAGAUUUAUAGCAGUCUUAAUAUCAUUAAGAUGUUAUACAAUUAAAAUUUUAUGUAAAAAUGAUAUUUCACUAUGACUCUUACACUUUUGCCACUAAUCACUACUACCAUUUCUAUCGCUGUCCCCGCCACUAUUAUAAACUAGUACCACCAACUAUCCACCAUCCUCAGCCACAACCACCACUACUAACAACAACGAAUAUAAGUUGUCACUAUCACUAGCCAUCAUGUACAAUCAUCACCACCAACCACCUUUACCAUAACAAUCAUCGCUAUCAUCCACCAUUAUAUAUCACAACCUACUGUUAUUGGUCAUCGCGACCAUCAACCACCACCGUUAGCUAUUAGUAUCAUCCACCAUCUAGUACCUACAUAACUAUUAACCGACACCAUCACCAAUCAUUACCUAGUCGGCAUCUACAACCACCGAUGAUAGCCAUCGUCACCGGUAGCCACUACAUAAUUUUAAACACUAUAUUAUUAAAGUUUUCAAUUAAUUAGUACUAUUUGAUUUAAAUUUAGACUUAUUAAUUUUUGAAUGAAGAUAUGUUUUUAACAUUUAUAUGUAGGAAAAACAAACAGUCUUAAUUAUUUAGUAUUCGAAUCUUAAUACAACAUCUUAACAUUCAGAUGCGUAUUAAUUCAAACUUUUUAAUUUUAAUACACAUAUUGAUAUACAGAAAUGAGGUCUUAAUAUAAUCAAGAUGUUAUACAUUCAAGAAUUUUUGUAAAAAUUUAUGUUUUACUAUUUCGUCACUAAUCAUCGUCAUCAAUCGUUGUCCUAUAUCAUUAUAGACUACCACAACCCACUACCCAAAACCCAUUACCGCCAUUCUCAACCACAACCACCAUCAAUGCCAAAUAUGAAUGUCAGUUGUCGCUAUCACUGGGCAUCAUUUACAAUCCUCACCGCCAACCGCCAUUACCACAAUAACUGUCGAUCACGCUAUCAACCACCAAUAUAUAUCGCCAUCGCUUAAUUAGUCACUACCAACAUCAAACACCACUUUUAACUACUAGUGUCAUCCACUAUCUACUACCUAUAAUCACCACUAUCAACCAACACCACUACCAACUACUACCUAAUCGGCACCCACAAUCAUCACUGUUAGCCAUCAUCACCAUCGACCACCAUAUAAUUUUGAAAAAAUAUUUUCUUAAUAUAAUGUUUACUAUUUGAUUUGAAUUUAUACUUAUUAUUUUUUAAAUAAAGAUAAUAUUGAUAUGUUUCAGAUGUAAAGAAACCAAACAGUUUUAAUUAUUCAGUAUUUAUACCUUAAUAUAAAUAUAUUUUGAUAUUCAUUAAGUGUAUUCUAAUUCGACGGAAGCAUAUGACGCCUAAAUACGGCUACUUGUGCAGUUGUUCCCACUUAAACCCACAAGUAAAAGCGUGAUACCUAUGCCCAACAAGCAAUCCAAAUGAAACGAGAAUAACUGGUGCGACGGAGAUCGAGUCUUCCUUCCGUCAUAGUCCGACGAAGAAGCUCCGCCUUUGCUCUGCUGCUAUACCCGGUGAGCUCCGCCUUAUUCUUCAUUUAUUUGUAUGAAUCCUCACAAAAAUUUGCAUACUCAAACCAAGUAUUUGCAACAAUUCUCGAGUCUCGAGUGCAAGACGGUAUUACCUCUGCUGUGUCAAUCGAGGACUUUACUUCUCUUUCUGUUUCUCAAAUGAAAACCUCAAUUUUAGUAGUCUGAAAAAGGAAUAUUAUCUCAACAGACAAUAGUAGUCUGGAAAAGAGAAAUAUUUUGCAUUUAACU
Molecule: long non-coding RNA, 2208 nt
Filed under: Nicotiana benthamiana
Lineage: Eukaryota; Viridiplantae; Streptophyta; Magnoliopsida; Solanales; Solanaceae
Description: long non-coding RNA (NBEN_LNC002832)
Source: RNAcentral